UUUUUUUUUUUUCAGUAGGCACGAAAGCAUCAUUCAGAAUAUAUGGAAAAAAUCUCAGACUAGUGACGUGACUGGUGUUUCCUUUCAACAUUUUCUUCUGUGUUUCUGGCUCACCCUCUCACCCAGCUUUUCCUCUCAUACAUCCUUUUCAUUGUUAGAAAGAGGUAAUAGACAAUAACUAAAAACUUCAUGGAAAGCAUAUGUGGAAAUCUGUUUCCUACAAUAUAAGCUUUAAGUAUAAAUUAGCUUUUUAUUGACUUUUCUCUUCUGUUGUCUUUUCACCAGUGGCUAAAAUGGAGUAUAAUUUGAGAAGAGUGAAAACAGUAAGGAUAUAGAUGAUUUUAACAGAUCAGUUUAAUUGAGUGGACAUUUAUAAAAUACUCCAUCUAACCACAGCAGAAUACACAUUUUUCUCAAACUCACCAAAAUAGACCACAUUUGGGUCAUAAAAUUUAUCUUAACGAAUUUAAAAGAAUAGGAAUCAUACAAAAUGCAUUCUUUUUCUUUUUUAAGAUUUUAUUUAUUCAUGAGACAGAGAGAGAGAGGGGCAGAGACGCAGGCAGAGGGAGAAGCAGGCUCCAUGCAGGGAGCCCGACAUGGGACUCGAUCCCGGGACCCCAGGAUCAGGCCCUGGGCUGAAUGCGGCCCUAAACCUCUGAGCAACCCAGGCUGCCCACAAAAUGCAUUCUUGUACCACAGUGGAAUCAAGCUAGAAAUAAAUAACAGAAGGAUGGCUAGGAAAUUCCCAAAUAUCGGAAACUUUUUAAAAAAGAUUUUAUUUAUUUAUUUAUUUAUUUAUUUAUUUAUUUAUUUGAGAGAGAGAGAGAAAGAAUGAGCAGGAGGAGGGGCAGAGAGGAAAGGAGAAGCAGGCUCUGGUCUGAGCGGGGAGCCCAAUAUGGGGCUCAAUCCCAGGACCCUGGGAUCAUGAAUGGAGUUGAAGGCAGAUGUUUAACUGACUGAACCACCCAGGUGCCUCCACAAAUAUCUAUAAAUUAAACAACAUACCUCUAAAUAACCCAUGAGCCAAAGAGAAAAAUGCCAAAGGAAAUUUAAAAUAUUCUGAAUUAAGGAAAAAUAAAAGUACAGUUUUUCAAAAUUUGUGGGACAGAGCAAAAUCAACCUGCUUAGGGGGAAAUUUAUAGCAUUAAAUGCAUAUGUUUUUAGAAAAGAAGAAAGAUCUAAAAUAAAAACCUAAGCUUCCACCUUAGGAAACUAGUGAAAAGAGUGAAAUAAAACUGAUUAGCAAGCACAGAAAACAUUUUCAACUUUAUAUACAAUCCAAUCAAAGAAAUGCAGUUUAAAAUAUCACUUUUCACAUAAUGAAUGAAGAAAUUUGUAUUUCUAAAAUACGAUAUUCAGGUUUGGUAUGGGUAAGGUGAAACAGGCACCAAAUAUUAGUAAAGCCCUUUAAAAAAAAGAUUUUAUUUAUUUAUAAGAGAGAGAGCAUGAGGAGGAGCAGAAGGAGAGGGAAGGACAAGUAGACUCCCAGAUGAGUGUGGAGCCCAAUGCAGGGGUUGAUCUCAGAAGCCUGCAUUGAUCUGAGCCAAAACCAAGAGUUGGACCCUUACAGGACUGAGCCACCCAGGCCCUCUAAAGCAACCAUUUUGAAAAAGAAAUUUGGCAAUGUGGUUUAAACAUAUCUUUUCUUUGCCCUACUCUUUCCAUUUUAAUGAUUAUAAAGAAAUAAUCCCAGAGUGAGAAAAUAUUUAAUUCACAAAGAUAUUUAUAAAAGUAUUAUUUAAAAUAGCAAAAAAUUGAAAAUAGCCCAAACAUCCAAAUAAGUGUAACAUUAAGUAGAACAUUAAGGUAUAUGCACUCACUGGAACAGUAUGUGGUCAUGAAAGUUGAUAUUUUGGGAGAAUUUCUAAUAACUUAAUAAUGACAAUAAGUGAUAAAGAAUAUGGGACAAGAAAAUGUAUGGAUAGAAAUAAGAUUAGAAAGAAGUGUGCCAAAAUUAAAACUAGUUUCUUGGGAUGAUGGGUUUGCCCUUCUUGCUGCUUUUCUAUAUGUCCUAAAGACCCCUGAUGGACAUGGUGGUUUUGCUCAUGAAUUUUGGAGAUCCAUGGCUUGGGUUAUGGUCUCAGCUCUGCCCCAAGUCUCAAUUCUCAUUUGUAAAGUGAGGAUGAUAAUUAAAGUUCUUUUCCUAAAAAAAAAAAAAAAAAAAAAAAAAAAAAAAAAA
This 2179-nucleotide long non-coding RNA is filed under the name Canis lupus familiaris (dog). Its description in RNAcentral is "lncRNA (ENSCAFG00845023880.1)". Lineage: Eukaryota; Metazoa; Chordata; Mammalia; Carnivora; Canidae. The record is from RNAcentral.